AACGAACGCUGGCGGCAUGCCUAACACAUGCAAGUCGAACGAGACCUUCGGGUCUAGUGGCGCACGGGUGCGUAACGCGUGGGAACCUGCCCUUAGGUUCGGAAUAACUCCCCGAAAGGGGUGCUAAUACCGGAUAAUGUCUUCGGACCAAAGAUUUAUCGCCUUUGGAUGGGCCCGCGUUGGAUUAGAUGGUUGGUGGGGUAAAAGCCUACCAAGGCGACGAUGGAUAGCUGGUCUGAGAGGGUGAUCGGCCACACUGGGACGGGGGCACGGCCCAGACUGCUACGGGAGGCAGCAGGGGGGAAGAUUGGAGAAUGGGUGGAAGCCUGAUGCAGCAACGCCGGGGGGCGGAUGAAGGUCUUGGGGGUGUAAACCGCUUUUGCUCAGGCAGAAGCUGUGUGUGACGGUAGUGGGUAAAGAAGCACCGGCUAACUACGUG
Molecule: ribosomal RNA, 439 nt
Filed under: uncultured bacterium
Lineage: Bacteria
Description: partial 16S ribosomal RNA
Rfam family: Bacterial small subunit ribosomal RNA
Source: RNAcentral